CCUACGGGUGGCAGCAGUGAGGAAUAUUGGUCAAUGGACGAGAGUCUGAACCAGCCAAGUAGCGUGAAGGAUGACUGCCCUAUGGGUUGUAAACUUCUUUUAUAUGGGAAUAAAACGUUCCACGUGUGGGAUUUUGUAUGUACCCUAUGAAUAAGGAUCGGCUAACUCCGUGCCAGCAGCCGCGGUAAUACGGAGGAUCCGAGCGUUAUCCGGAUUUAUUGGGUUUAAAGGGAGCGUAGGUGGAUUGUUAAGGAAGUUGUGAAAGUUUGCGGCUCAACCGUAAAAUUGCAGUUGAAACUGGCAGUCUUGAGUACAGUAGAGGUGGGCGGAAUUCGUGGUGUAGCGGUGAAAUGCUUAGAUAUCACGAAGAACUCCGAUUGCGAAGGCAGUUCACUGGACUGCAACUGACACUGAGGCUCGAAAGUGUGGGUAUCAAACAGGAUUAGAUACCCCAGUAGUC
This 460-nucleotide ribosomal RNA is filed under the name uncultured bacterium. Its description in RNAcentral is "partial 16S ribosomal RNA". It matches the Rfam family "Bacterial small subunit ribosomal RNA", at positions 338 to 795 of the family's 1533-position model. The record is from RNAcentral.